UACUCGAGUGGCGAACGGGUGAGUAACACGUGGGUGAUCUGCCCUGCACUUCGUGAUAAGCUUGGGAAACUGGGUCUAAUACCGGAUAGGAACCAUCUUUAGUGUGGUGGUUGGAAAGUUUUUUCGGUGUAGGAUGAGCUCGCGGCCUAUCAGCUUGUUGGUGGGGUAAUGGCCUACCAAGGCGGCGACGGGUAGCCGGCCUGAGAGGGUGUACGGCCACAUUGGGACUGAGAUACGGCCCAG
This 243-nucleotide ribosomal RNA is filed under the name uncultured Actinomycetales bacterium. RNAcentral's name for it is "partial 16S ribosomal RNA". It matches the Rfam family "Bacterial small subunit ribosomal RNA", at positions 88 to 334 of the family's 1533-position model. The record is from RNAcentral. Lineage: Bacteria; Bacillati; Actinomycetota; Actinomycetes; Actinomycetales.